CCUACGGGUGGCAGCAGUGGGGAAUAUUGCACAAUGGGCGCAAGCCUGAUGCAGCGACGCCGCGUGAGGGAUGACGGCCUUCGGGUUGUAAACCUCUGUUAGCAUCGAAGAAGCGAAAGUGACGGUAGGUGCAGAGAAAGCGCCGGCUAACUACGUGCCAGCAGCCGCGGUAAUACGUAGGGCGCGAGCGUUGUCCGGAAUUAUUGGGCGUAAAGAGCUUGUAGGCGGUUGGUCGCGUCUGCUGUGAAAGGCCGGGGCUUAACUCCGGUUUUGCAGUGGGUACGGGCUAACUAGAGUGCAGUAGGGGAGACUGGAAUUCCUGGUGUAGCGGUGGAAUGCACAGAUAUCAGGAGGAACACCGAUGGCGAAGGCAGGUCUCUGGGCUGUAACUGACGCUGAGAAGCGAAAGCAUGGGGAGCGAACAGGAUUAGAUACCCUUGUAGUC
RNAcentral lists this ribosomal RNA (445 nucleotides) under uncultured Rothia sp. RNAcentral describes it as "bacterial SSU rRNA". It matches the Rfam family "Bacterial small subunit ribosomal RNA", at positions 338 to 795 of the family's 1533-position model. The record is from RNAcentral. Lineage: Bacteria; Bacillati; Actinomycetota; Actinomycetes; Micrococcales; Micrococcaceae.